CCGGCGCACGGGUGAGUAACACGUAUCCAACCUGCCGAUAACUCGGGGAUAGCCUUUCGAAAGAAAGAUUAAUAUCCGAUGGUAUAUUAAAACCGCAUGGUUUUACUAUUAAAGAAUUUCGGUUAUCGAUGGGGAUGCGUUCCAUUAGUUUGUUGGUGGGGUAACGGCCCACCAAGACUACGAUGGAUAGGGGUUCUGAGAGGAAGGUCCCCCACAUUGGAACUGAGACACGGUCCA
Molecule: ribosomal RNA, 237 nt
Filed under: Bacteroides xylanisolvens
Lineage: Bacteria; Pseudomonadati; Bacteroidota; Bacteroidia; Bacteroidales; Bacteroidaceae
Description: partial 16S ribosomal RNA
Rfam family: Bacterial small subunit ribosomal RNA
Source: RNAcentral